Molecule: unclassified non-coding RNA, 343 nt
Filed under: Klebsiella pneumoniae subsp. pneumoniae
Lineage: Bacteria; Pseudomonadati; Pseudomonadota; Gammaproteobacteria; Enterobacterales; Enterobacteriaceae
Description: partial 16S-23S ribosomal RNA intergenic spacer
Rfam family: Salmonella enterica Typhi npcRNA 44 (bases 239-336)
Source: RNAcentral
CCUUAAAGAACCUGCCUUUGUAGUGCUCACACAGAUUGUCUGAUGAAAGUAAAGAAGCAAGGCGUCUUGCGAUUGAGACUUCAGUGUCCCCUUCGUCUAGAGGCCCAGGACACCGCCCUUUCACGGCGGUAACAGGGGUUCGAAUCCCCUAGGGGACGCCACUUGCUGGUUCGUGAGUGAAAGACGCGUGCCGAACUAUCUCAAAACUCAUCUUCGGGUGAUGUUUGAGAUAUUUGCUCUUUAAAAAUCUGGAUCAAGCUGAAAAUUGAAACGACACACUGUUUAAGUGUGUUCGAGUCUCUCAAAUUUUCGCAAUCAGAAGUGAAACAUCUUCGGGUUGUGA